UUCACUGGCUGAGAAGAAACGAAACUUAGGCUACUGUACUAGUAUUCCAGAGUGACGAUACUCAUCCUUUCGCUUCAUAUAGGGACGCCAACAGGUACUGUUGUUGUAAAUGUGUCAACUUCCGUAGGCUACUUUAUACUUCUGCUUAAUACAAACAAUUAUUGUACCUGGGCAGGGAACGGCGUAAUAUUAACACAUAUUAUAGCUGGGCAGGGAACGCGCAUGGUGUGACAGCAGGCCAGCACACAAGGUGUUCAUUAUCAGUGUGGCCACCUGAGCAUUGUUGCUUUAUGUGCUGGUGCAACUUUACAACUAUUGAAAUGAGUGGCGUAUCCCCGUCACCGUGCUGAUGACCAGGGAGCUGGAGAUGAGGGCAAAGCCACUGAGGAAGAAGGUGGCCGUGUAGGUGCCUGUGGUGUCAACCAGCCAGCCUGCAGAGGGAGGACGAAUGAGGUAUGAACAUUCACUUUGGCUUUCACUUGAUGGAAGAAAAAAAACACAUGUCUUGUGGACUUCCUGACUAAUGCAUGUGUUAAUACAUUCAUAAUGAAUCAUUUUAUUCAGUGGUGGGUAAUUUAACAAACUAUUUAACAAACUAUUGCUGCACUUAUGAAACAAUAUUUUAAAAGUAACGUCACGUGAACAUUUGCAACUUUUGUCAUUAAUUGACCAAUCAAGCAUUGAUGGGGUAUUGUUCAUACCAAGAUACAUCCUUGACAAAACAUUAAAUCAAAUCAAAUUUUAUUUGUCACAUACGCAUGGUUAGCAGAUGUUAGUGCGAGUGUAGCGAAAUGCUUGUGCUUCUAGUUCUGACAAUGCAGUAAUAACCAACAAGUAAUCUAACUAACAAUUCCAAAACUACUACCUACUACCUUACACAAGUGUAAGGGGAUAAAGAAUAUGUACAUAAAGAUAUAUGAAUGAGUGAUGGUACAGAGCGGCAUAGGCAAGAUACAGUAGAUGGUAUUGAGUGCAGUAUAUACAUAUGAGAUGAGUAUGUAAACAAAGUGGCAUAGUUAAAGUGGCUAGUGAUACAUGUAUUACAUAAGGAUGCAGUAGAUGAUAUAGAGUACAGUAUCUACGUAUACAUAUGAGAUGAAUAAUGUAUGGUAUGUAAACAUUAUAUUAGGUAGCAUUGUUUAAAGUGGCUAGUGAUAUAUUUGACAUAAUUUCCCAUUAUUAAAGUGGCUGGAGUUGAGUCAGUGUGUUGGCAGCAGCCACUCAAUGUUAGUGGUGGCUGUUUAACAGUCUGAUGGCCUUGAGAUAGAAGCUGUUUUUCAGUCUCUCGGUCACAGCUUUGAUAUCAUCCAAAGGUAAACUUUUGCAACAUUGGUCAUUAAUUGACCAAUGAAACAUCAGUGGUGUACUCUUCAGGCCAGUUUCCCAGACACAGAUGGAAGUUCUCCAUUGAAAUAGAUUUUUAGUCCAAGAAUAGGUUUAGUCAGCAACUACAAAUCAUCUCAGAAUCAGGACUGAAUAAUUGGGUCACUUUAGAAUUACAUAAGGUUACUUACUGUAAGUGAGAUUGUUUUCUGUUGAAUUAGUUCAAAGAGACCAGCAGGCUUACUCUACUUGAUCAGAGGGAGUAUAUGGGAGGUCCAGAAAGAAGUUAAAUGUCUACUAACUGUUUACAACUUGCAAAUGUGGUCUUGUACCACUAAAAGCGUUCAUAAAGACCACUUUUGCGAUCAGCAAACAACGUGGAGACAUUUACCGCUAUCUCUUUUGUACACCACCUGUUCUACGAUUGGUUAGUACUUACCUCCUAUUGGAGGGCUGAGCAGGUAAGGGAUGGCAUGUAGGAAGUAGACUAUCCCUAGGGCGGAGGAGAGGUUAUGUGUCCCCACAAUGUCCGAGGUCACCACAGGUAUGAGGGCAACGUAGGCGCCAUCAAAGUACCCAUAAAACACAGAGAAAGGCACCAGCAGGGCGAACGUCCGCAGGAGAGGGAUGAAGAGGCAGCACACCCCCUCCAUGCCCACUGCUAUCAUGUAGCACACAUUACGAUACUUCUUCAGGCACCUGGGGGUGAGAAAAACAGUGGACAAAAUUAGUCUAAAAACACAGAUUUUUCAUGUUGACCAUCUGAACGAUUGGCGGCUUAACAUCCAAUGGCUUGUCAGAGGAAACCAGCUUUAUCUUCAAGAUACAAUUGGGUAACAGCUCCAUUUCGUUAGAGUAAAACUGGGUGACAAACAGUUCACUAAAAGGUGAGAUUACAAGAAACGACUGAAAACUCUACAUGUGACUGUUAAACACUCUGAAUAUGAAUCUUUACUGGAUAAGAAAAGGCUGGACCCAUAUCUAUGUUAAUGCAUAGCUUCUCAUUUUCACACAAAACCUAAAGAAAGAAACAACGCAACAAAUUAAGGUACAUUUUGAACCUGUCUUCCGGUCCUAAUAGAGGUACGUUUUAAACCUGUCUUCCGGUCCUAAUAGAGGUACGUUUUAAACCUGUCUUCCGGUCCUAAUAGAGGUACGUUUUAAACCUGUCUUCCGGUCCUAAUAAAGGUACGUUUUGAACCUGUCUUCCAGUCCUAAUAAAGGUACGUUUUAAACCUGUCUUCCGGUCCUAAUAAAGGUACAUUUUGAACCUGUCUUCCGGUCCUAAUAGAGGUACGUUUUAAACCUGUCUUCCAGUCCUAAUAAAGGUAUGUUUUAAACCUGUCUUCCGGUCCUAAUAAAGGUACGUUUUGAACCUGUCUUCCGGUCCUAAUAAAGGUAUGUUUUAAACCUGUCUUCCAGGCCUAAUAAAGGUAUGUUUUGAACCUGUCUUCCAGUCCUAAUAAAGGUAUGUUUUGAACCUGUCUUCCGGUCCUAAUAAAGGUAUGUUUUGAACCUGUCUUCCGGUCCUAAUAAAGGUACGUUUUGAACCUGUCUUCCGGUCCUAAUAAAGGUAUGUUUUAAACCUGUCUUCCAGGCCUAAUAAAGGUAUGUUUUGAACCUGUCUUCCGGUCCUAAUAAAGGCAUGUUUUGAACCUGUCUUCCAGUCCUAAUAAAGGUAUGUUUUGAACCUGUCUUCCAGUCCUAAUAAAGGUACGUUUUGAACCUGUCUUCCGGUCCUAAUAAAGGUAUGUUUUGAACCUGUCUUCCGGUCCUAAUAAAGGUAUGUUUUGAACCUGUCUUCCAGUCCGACUAAAGGUACAUUUUGAACCUGUCUUCCGGUCCAAAUAAAGGUAUGUUUUGAACCUGUCUUCCGAUCCAAAUAAAGGUUGAACCUGUCUUCUGGUCCAAAUAAGGUUGAACCUGUCUUCCGGUCCGAAUAAAGGUACGUUUUGAACCUGUCUUCCGGUCCUAAUAAAGGUACGUUUUGGACCUGUCUUCCAGUCCUAAUAAAGGUAUGUUUUGAACCUGUCUUCCGGUCCUAAUAAAGGUACGUUUUGAACCUGUCUUCCGGUCCUAAUAAAGGUAUGUUUUGAACCUGUCUUCUGGUCCGAAUAAAGGAAGGCCGGCCUAUUAAAGAGCAAGGGUGAUUCGUGGAAUGAAAAUACCUAUAUUGUGUUGGCAUACUCAAUGGAACAACAUCUUUAAAACUUUGGCUUACCUCCUGUCUACGAGCCAGCCGAAGGUGAUGUUCCCCACGAUGUCAAUGACCCCCAGGAUGGACAUGAGGAAGGCGGCCUGGUGGUGGCUCACACCCACGUCCAGUGCAUAUGGAACCAGGUAGACGAAGGGCAGGCUGCAGCCACUGGCUAGGAACAAGAAGCUCACUGCCAGCAUCAGGAAGUCAGGCAUGAGCAGGAAGCAGUACUCCUGCAUGGACUGGAAGCAGAAGCAGCGGUGGCUGUUGUUGUUGUUGUUGUUGAUCGCCAGUGAUUCCUCUAACAUGCUAUCCACCGGAGCUUUCACCCCAUAUCCACACUCGGUGUCCAACGGGACUGGACCAUGAGCCUCCUCUUCUUCUUUCAGAGUGAUAGGGCGCAGUAAUGCCCCACAAACACACAGGUUGGCAACAACACCCCCUAGGAUGAGCAGGGCCCCACGCCAUGAGUAGUGCUCUAUGAGUAUCUGGACGGCAGGGGCCAGGAUGAAGGUCCCGAUGCCACUGCCUGACAUGGCGAUCCCGUACGCCAGGGCUUUCCUCUCACAGAAAUAUGAGCCCACCAUGGCUAAGGCAGGGGUGUAGCAGAGGGCAAAUCCAAUACCUGUAAAUCCAAAGACGAUAAGGUUUUUGUUGUUUUUCUAUGAGACAUCCCAGGGCAUUCCUUUUGUCCCUGAAUUACAUUAUUUGCAUGAUGUAUAGGGGCCCUAAUGAUAAUAAUAAUAAUAAUAAUACAUUGGAUUUAAAGUGCCAUAAAGGGGACAGCACUGAGCUAGCCUGCAACAUCACUUCCUGGAUUAGCUCAAACUGUGCAUGUUGUGUCCACAGAAACCUCCUACAUGAGACGCCAUCUCAACCGACUUCCUUGGCUUCAAAUGCGCUAUAUAUAUAUAUAUAUAUAUAUAUGAAUGGACAAAGCCAUCAAACAUGUGACAUUCAUUCCUAUGUGAAGACUCAAUAGCGCAUCAUAUACUAUGAAUGCACUAUAUAUAUAUAUAUAUAUAUAUAUAUAUAUAUAUAUAUAUAUAUAUAUAUAUAUAGUGCAUUCGAGAAAGUAUUCAGACCCCUUCACAUUUUGCACAUUUUGUUACAUUACAGCCUUAUUCUAAAAUUGAUUAAAUUAGACACAUAUCUGGGGAAGGGUACCAAAAAAUGUCUGCAGCAUUGACGGUCCCCAACAAAACAGUGGCCUCCAUCAUUCUUAAAUGGAAGAAGUUUGGAACCACCAAGACUCUUCCUAGAGCUGGCCACCCGGCCAAACUUUUGGAGUUUGCCAAAAGGCACCUAAAGGACUCUCGGACCAUGAGAAACAAGAUUCUCUGGUCUGAUGAAAUCAAGAUUGAACUCUUUGGCCUGAAUGCCAAGCUUCACGUCUGAAGGAAACCAGGCACCGCUCAUCACCUGGCCAAUACCAUCCCUAUGGUGAAGUAUGGUGGUGGCAGCAUCAUGCAGUGGGGAUGUUUUUCAGUGGCAGGGACUUGGAGACUAGUCAGGAUCAAGGGAAAGAUGAACGGAGCAAAGAACAGAGAGAAUCCUAGAUGAAAACCUGCUCCAGAGCACCCAGGACCUGAGACUGGGUCGAAGGUUCACCUUCCAACAGGACAACGACCCUAAGCACACAGCCAAGACAAUGCAGGACUGGCUUCGGGACAAGUCUCUGAAUGUCCUUGAGUGACCCAGCCAGAGCCCGGAUUAAUAUCUCUGGAGAGACCUGAAAAUAGCUGUGCAGCGACAUUCCCCAUCCAACCUGACAGAGCUUGAGAGGAUCUACAGAGAGGAAUGGGAGAAACUCCCCAAAUACAGGUGUGCCAAGCUUGUGGUGUCAUACCCGAGAAGACCCGAGGCUGUAAUCGCUGCCAAAGGUGCUUCAACAAUGUACUGAGUAAAGGAUCUGAAUACUUAUGUUAAUGUGAUAUUUCAGUUUUUUUCAAAUGAUACAUUUGCACACAAAAAACACACAAAAAAUGUGUUUGCUUUGUCAUUAUGAGGUAUUAUGUGUAGACUGAUGAGGGGAAAAAACUAUUUAAUGCAUUUUAGAAUAAGACUGUACCGUGGAAAAACUCAAGGGGUCUGAAUACUUUCCGAAUGCACUGUACAGUCAUUGGGGGGACCCACCUGUGAGGACCCCCAGGGUGAGGUACAGGUACUCCAGGCUGGUAGCGAAAGAGCUGAGGACCAGGCCGAUAGAGGACAGAAAGCCACCAAGGAUCACAGCGAUGCGGCACGACAGACGGUUCCCAAUGAAGCUGCCUAGAGGAGCUGUCAAUCACAAAGUACACAUGUUAAUAUGGGAUUGUCUGCUGCACUACAGUAGUACAGUCAGUGCUCAUGAGUGGGGAUGGCUUGGUGGGUCUGAGGUACUGGAAGGCAUGACAAAAAAAAUGCCAUAGGCAAAGAGCUUUGAUCUGGUCGGACAAUUCAAGCCCGACCCUACCAGAGCCCUACAUAAAAAAGAUUUUAUGAGCCCAAGCCUAAAUUACAAAACAUGAUUGUGCCCUAACGUUUGUACAAUAUAUUGUCCUAACGCAUAUUACGCAUGGCAACAAAACAUAAAAGCACACUUUUAAGAGGUCUUUGAAUAAUUUGGUAAAUAAUUGGUCUAGGCUAGUGAAACAAACUCUAGUAGGCCUAUCAUCUUUGAGUGUGGACUUCAUUAUUAUGCAUAUACUGUAUGGAUUGGUUAGGGUAGACUAUAUCGACAAUAUUGAUGUUCCCGAACAGAUUUCAGUUGGUUUUCAAUGUGGUGGCUUAAAUGGGCUACUGUCUGUUUAUCAAACCGCAGAUGCGUUCCCGUCUGCGCUCUAUAGGCCAACAUUCUACCGCCAACAACGUGUCAUAUAUUCAACCGCAAAUAAUGUUACAUACCAGAACAAUCCUAUAAGAAAAAAGACAACUAAAAGGCAUAUUAAAUCAUUUGAGAUAAAUGUUAAAGUGCAAGGAUGGAGAGAGUUGCAUCUUGUCUAUCAGAGCAGAGAAAAUGAUAGGCUACAGAUGCACGUUCUCUUUCUGUUUCACCGCGGCAACUGCCACAUCGUCUACAAGGUUGUGGAAGCCUAAACCAAAUCCCGGCUGCCCUAAUCAAUUCUCAGAAUAUCAGGCUCGGGCUAAAACUCUGUGUUUUCACAUUUAUGUUUUUUUGGGGCAGUAGGAUAAUUAAUGAGGAGGAGUCAUGGAUUUAACUCUGAACGCUCUUAUUCAAAUUGUCACAUUGCAAACUGUGAAUAUAAUACCACUAGAGUUACUGGAUCCGAGCACAUAGUUUCCGGAACACAGUCUUACAAAACUCAGUACAGUAUGUUCUUAGUUGUUUUACCUCUGCCAAAGAUAGGUGUAUCAUGAUUGAUAUAUGGUUGGUGAACAAUGCCAAGUACAUCUUGUACUCUGAUUUGACAAAUAUGAUGAGUCAUAUGCUGAGUAAAAAAGAGCAGGAGGGAAAUACACAUCCAGGUUGAGAACUGAAAAGCUUAUGUGUCAUUGCGCAGGGGGUAAUAUGAGGACAAACCAGUUCUUGACUUUUACCACAGCUCUCACACCUCGACAUGAACAAACACAUGCAGAUUCAGGAACAGAGGGAGUAACACCAAUUCAGCAAAAAGUUCAGCUCCAAAAAGAUACCCCACUGCUAAUUUCAACACAUAUUAAAUAGUUGCAAGUUAACAUUUACUGAAAUGUGUGUCACUUUGGACCAUUGAUACUGUGAGUUAAUACAAGCCCAUGAGAGGGGUUUGUGAUCCGCAGCAGUCCUCUGUGACCCAUGUUUUGGUAUUUCAAGAUGUUCUCCGUGUGUCGCUAACGUCUGUGUGUUGCUAACAUUGUUCUCUCAAGAGCUAAAUCGACAGAGAAAGAAGCAACCUCCUCUCUCUGUCUACUUUAGUCAGACAAGGGAUUGUCAGUACUUUGUUCUUAAAUACUACUGCACUGAUGUGUACAAACUAACAUGAAACAAUCCUAUGCCUUCAACCAAAAAGGUUUUUAAAGGGCAAUCAACAUGUCCAAAAGAUCCAAGGAAGAUCUCCAUGGUGGAGAUGAGAGAAAGCAGUGUAUGGAGAGUUGGGUGAGACUAACUAAAAUAGCCAAAACAUCACUACUUUCCUAUGUAAGAGGGGUUAAACAUCCCAAUCUAAGAGAAGCAGCAAAAACUGACCGAUGGGUUGACUGAGUUACACACUGCCAGUCAGCGGCUUGUGACUUUAUCAACUGAAGCAUACCGUAACUUUGCUGUGUGAUUGUAAAAAGCACAUUUACAUUACAUUGUCUUCAGUCUUAUAUCUGGAGUAUUUCUCCUGUCUUAUCCAGUGUCCUGUGUGAAAUUAAGUAUGCUCUCUCUAAUUCUCUCCCUUUUUCUCCUUUCUCUCUCUCUCUCUCUCUCUCUCUCUCUCUCUCUCUCUCUCUCUCUCGCUCUCUCUCUCUCUCUUUCUCUCUUUCUCUCGGAGGACCUGAGCCCUAGGACCAUGCCUCAGGACUACCUGGCCUUGCCCGAUGACUCCUUGCUGUCCCCAAUACACCUGGUCGUACUGCUGCUCCAGUUUCAACUGUUCUGCCUGCGGCUAUGGAACCCUGACCUGUUCACCGGACGUGCUACUUUGUCCUGGACCUGCUGUUUUCAACUCUAUAGAGACAGCAGGAGCGGUAGAGAUACUCUGAGUGAUCGGCUAUGAAAAGCCAACUGACAUUUACUCCUGAGGUGCUGACCUGUUGCACCCUCUACAACCACUGUGAUUAUUAUUAUUUGACCCGGCUGGUCAUCUAUGAACAUUUUAACAUCUUGGACGUGUUCUGUUAUAAUCUCCACCCGGCACAGCCAGAAGAGGACUGGCCACCCCUCAUAGCCUGGUUCUUCUCUAGUUUUCUUCCUAGGUUUUGGCCUUUCUAGGGAGUAUUUCCUAGCCACCGUGCUUCUACGACUGCAUUGCUUGCUCUUUGGGGUUUUAGGCUGGGUUUCUGUACAGCACUUUGUGACAUCUGCUGAUAUAAUAAGGGCUUUAUAAAUACAUUUGAUUGAUUGAUCAUGUGUCCUAAUUGGAAGUGAAAUGAUGCACCAAAUAUCACACCUAGUUGUUUUAGUUGUCAAACUGAGUUAACUUCUCCUUAGUCCUUUAACAGCUUUUAUGUUUACAUCCAAUGAACCAAAUUAAUUUUAUCACUACCCUGCGCAAUGAGCAAGCCAAUGCCAGGCCCAGCGUGAAGCCAGAUCACUGUUGCUGAAGCAGCACUUGACUGAGGGCCAUGAUGACUUACCACACAGCAUAGUGGUGCAGUCCACCAGACUGUGGAUCCAGGCUGUCCCUGAAUAGUCCGUUCCAAAGUGCAUCUGGAAAUCCACAAAGAAGAUGGAGAUGCAUCUGGAACAGAAGAAAAGGCUCAAGAUGAAGCAAAAUCAUGACAAAUAACAACCAUCUUGCACAUUUCAAAUAGGUUUUGAUCCUCGCAUGUUCUGACUCCAAGCCCACCUGCCUGACCACUCUGUCUGCCCCUGAUCCUGCCUGCCGACCUGUACCUUUGCCCCCCUCUGGAUUACCGACCUCUGCCUUACCCUGACCCUGAGCCUGCCCACUGCCCGAUACCGUUGCCCCACCUCUGGUUUACCUUGUCCUGUCUAUUGCCUGUCCCUGUUGGAAUAUUAAACCAUUGUUUAUUCGACACGGUCUGCAUCUGGGACUUACCUUCAUACCUGAGAGUAUGAACUGGCCAUGACUGACCCAGCAGACCCGGGCCAGCUGCACAACGCAAUCUCCUCCCAAGGAGCCUCCAUUGGUAGGCACUAGGAAUUGCUUCGUGGGCUGAUGGAGGGGUCCAAACGUUGGCUGAGCACCAUGACUGGGCGCCGGAGCAGAAGGUCCAACCCUUUCCCCCAUCUCAUCGACGGCCAACCGGCUUACACGGUGAUGCGUCUCCUGAAGGUUCCACAUCGGGGUUGGGGGUUCCAGUAUAUUGUUGACUGGGAGGGUUAUGGCCCGAAAGAGAGGGGUCCUGGGUCCCCGCCAGGGACAUCCUGGACACAGGCCGCAUUGCAUAUUUUCAGCGCUGACACCCCGGUCAUCCAGUUUUCAGAGUUGUGUCAGGACCAAGCUAGGGGAACUCCAUGACCCUCUCUUCCUGACAGACUUACCUGGUGACGGCACGUGUGCAGACAGUGACCAAGAAGCAGCCGGCCACAAUCAUCCAGCCCCAGCCCCCAUCAGGAGGGGGGACCGCUGGUCUCUUUUUCCCCUGAGCCAUAGCCGCAGCAUGAACCAUGCUUAGAUCCUUUUUCUGUUCCCUCUGUUUUUCUCCUGUUCUCAGUUAAGACCCAGGUACACCUCGCAGACAGACAGCCUGACACAGUCACACCCAGCAUGGGAUUGCACUGGUUGUUGAAGAGGCUGUUCAGUUCACUUCAGUUACACUGUUGUAGAAAACAGGGAGAAGCACAUAUACUAGCUAAGACUAUGAAUAAGUCAAAAGGUGGCUCGGAAUCAUUAACAGGCAUCAACAAAAACACCUCAGACAUCUUCUCUGGGUCUGGGUCUGAAACGUGUCCAGCCCAUUCAGCAUUUGUUGAGGACUCAGCCUACAAACAAGACUAAUCACUGCUGAUGUGUGUGUUGAAAUACUUUACUCCCCCGGCCCAAGCAGAACAGUGAGGUGACAGGGUUAUUGACAUAGGAGUCCAUGAGAGGAUGUGUUUACUUCCAGGGUGUCAGGGAUAACUCGGGGCGAUUACAAUAUUAACUUCAGACCCUAGCUGCCGUCUGCUUUUGUGACCUCUCUGAGCCCGUGGCAUGUGCUGCUCUAAAACACUUCCGAUAUAAACACAUCUCUGCAGCUUUGGUUCCAUUAGGCACUUGACUUGGCUAACCUCCAUUAGUUUAACAGCAAUUCUCUGAAAUGUACUUAAUAAGCAUGUAGCACCAAACGGCAAUCAUGUUUUGAGUGAUGCAUGUCAGUUAAUGUCAGUAUGUAAAAGAAAAAUCCACACAAAAACUAUAUUUUGGUUGUUUUGUUUUUUUUGGUCACCAACCACAUGAUGCAAAAUGCAUCAUCAUCACUUUGCAUCUUGAAAAUUCUAUAUCAUGAAAACUGGACUGCUGACAUGCAAAACAUGUUGCGACUGUAUCAACAAUGUAAUAAUGAAGAAAAUACCAGUGGUAUUUUCUUUUAAAUUAGAAUUUCAGUCUGAUACCAAACACACGAUAUCUAUGAUAUC
Oncorhynchus keta (chum salmon) is the source of this 10727-nucleotide RNA transcript. It is a transcript of the gene named interferon-induced protein with tetratricopeptide repeats 5-like, with no coding region annotated. The transcript has 5 exons. The record is from RefSeq and is a predicted model, not a curated record. NCBI's taxonomy places the organism in Eukaryota, Metazoa, Chordata, Actinopteri, Salmoniformes, Salmonidae.